Molecule: ribosomal RNA, 2863 nt
Filed under: Staphylococcus aureus
Lineage: Bacteria; Bacillati; Bacillota; Bacilli; Caryophanales; Staphylococcaceae
Description: partial 23S ribosomal RNA
Rfam family: Bacterial large subunit ribosomal RNA
Source: RNAcentral
AGAUUAAGUUAUUAAGGGCGCACGGUGGAUGCCUUGGCACUAGAAGCCGAUGAAGGACGUUACUAACGACGAUAUGCUUUGGGGAGCUGUAAGUAAGCUUUGAUCCAGAGAUUUCCGAAUGGGGAAACCCAGCAUGAGUUAUGUCAUGUUAUCGAUAUGUGAAUACAUAGCAUAUCAGAAGGCACACCCGGAGAACUGAAACAUCUUAGUACCCGGAGGAAGAGAAAGAAAAUUCGAUUCCCUUAGUAGCGGCGAGCGAAACGGGAAGAGCCCAAACCAACAAGCUUGCUUGUUGGGGUUGUAGGACACUCUAUACGGAGUUACAAAGGACGACAUUAGACGAAUCAUCUGGAAAGAUGAAUCAAAGAAGGUAAUAAUCCUGUAGUCGAAAAUGUUGUCUCUCUUGAGUGGAUCCUGAGUACGACGGAGCACGUGAAAUUCCGUCGGAAUCUGGGAGGACCAUCUCCUAAGGCUAAAUACUCUCUAGUGACCGAUAGUGAACCAGUACCGUGAGGGAAAGGUGAAAAGCACCCCGGAAGGGGAGUGAAAUAGAACCUGAAACCGUGUGCUUACAAGUAGUCAGAGCCCGUUAAUGGGUGAUGGCGUGCCUUUUGUAGAAUGAACCGGCGAGUUACGAUUUGAUGCAAGGUUAAGCAGUAAAUGUGGAGCCGUAGCGAAAGCGAGUCUGAAUAGGGCGUUUAGUAUUUGGUCGUAGACCCGAAACCAGGUGAUCUACCCUUGGUCAGGUUGAAGUUCAGGUAACACUGAAUGGAGGACCGAACCGACUUACGUUGAAAAGUGAGCGGAUGAACUGAGGGUAGCGGAGAAAUUCCAAUCGAACCUGGAGAUAGCUGGUUCUCUCCGAAAUAGCUUUAGGGCUAGCCUCAAGUGAUGAUUAUUGGAGGUAGAGCACUGUUUGGACGAGGGGCCCCUCUCGGGUUACCGAAUUCAGACAAACUCCGAAUGCCAAUUAAUUUAACUUGGGAGUCAGAACAUGGGUGAUAAGGUCCGUGUUCGAAAGGGAAACAGCCCAGACCACCAGCUAAGGUCCCAAAAUAUAUGUUAAGUGGAAAAGGAUGUGGCGUUGCCCAGACAACUAGGAUGUUGGCUUAGAAGCAGCCAUCAUUUAAAGAGUGCGUAAUAGCUCACUAGUCGAGUGACACUGCGCCGAAAAUGUACCGGGGCUAAACAUAUUACCGAAGCUGUGGAUUGUCCUUUGGACAAUGGUAGGAGAGCGUUCUAAGGGCGUUGAAGCAUGAUCGUAAGGACAUGUGGAGCGCUUAGAAGUGAGAAUGCCGGUGUGAGUAGCGAAAGACGGGUGAGAAUCCCGUCCACCGAUUGACUAAGGUUUCCAGAGGAAGGCUCGUCCGCUCUGGGUUAGUCGGGUCCUAAGCUGAGGCCGACAGGCGUAGGCGAUGGAUAACAGGUUGAUAUUCCUGUACCACCUAUAAUCGUUUUAAUCGAUGGGGGGACGCAGUAGGAUAGGCGAAGCGUGCGAUUGGAUUGCACGUCUAAGCAGUAAGGCUGAGUAUUAGGCAAAUCCGGUACUCGUUAAGGCUGAGCUGUGAUGGGGAGAAGACAUUGUGUCUUCGAGUCGUUGAUUUCACACUGCCGAGAAAAGCCUCUAGAUAGAAAAUAGGUGCCCGUACCGCAAACCGACACAGGUAGUCAAGAUGAGAAUUCUAAGGUGAGCGAGCGAACUCUCGUUAAGGAACUCGGCAAAAUGACCCCGUAACUUCGGGAGAAGGGGUGCUCUUUAGGGUUAACGCCCAGAAGAGCCGCAGUGAAUAGGCCCAAGCGACUGUUUAUCAAAAACACAGGUCUCUGCUAAACCGUAAGGUGAUGUAUAGGGGCUGACGCCUGCCCGGUGCUGGAAGGUUAAGAGGAGUGGUUAGCUUCUGCGAAGCUACGAAUCGAAGCCCCAGUAAACGGCGGCCGUAACUAUAACGGUCCUAAGGUAGCGAAAUUCCUUGUCGGGUAAGUUCCGACCCGCACGAAAGGCGUAACGAUUUGGGCACUGUCUCAACGAGAGACUCGGUGAAAUCAUAGUACCUGUGAAGAUGCAGGUUACCCGCGACAGGACGGAAAGACCCCGUGGAGCUUUACUGUAGCCUGAUAUUGAAAUUCGGCACAGCUUGUACAGGAUAGGUAGGAGCCUUUGAAACGUGAGCGCUAGCUUACGUGGAGGCGCUGGUGGGAUACUACCCUAGCUGUGUUGGCUUUCUAACCCGCACCACUUAUCGUGGUGGGAGACAGUGUCAGGCGGGCAGUUUGACUGGGGCGGUCGCCUCCUAAAAGGUAACGGAGGCGCUCAAAGGUUCCCUCAGAAUGGUUGGAAAUCAUUCAUAGAGUGUAAAGGCAUAAGGGAGCUUGACUGCGAGACCUACAAGUCGAGCAGGGUCGAAAGACGGACUUAGUGAUCCGGUGGUUCCGCAUGGAAGGGCCAUCGCUCAACGGAUAAAAGCUACCCCGGGGAUAACAGGCUUAUCUCCCCCAAGAGUUCACAUCGACGGGGAGGUUUGGCACCUCGAUGUCGGCUCAUCGCAUCCUGGGGCUGUAGUCGGUCCCAAGGGUUGGGCUGUUCGCCCAUUAAAGCGGUACGCGAGCUGGGUUCAGAACGUCGUGAGACAGUUCGGUCCCUAUCCGUCGUGGGCGUAGGAAAUUUGAGAGGAGCUGUCCUUAGUACGAGAGGACCGGGAUGGACAUACCUCUGGUGUACCAGUUGUCGUGCCAACGGCAUAGCUGGGUAGCUAUGUGUGGACGGGAUAAGUGCUGAAAGCAUCUAAGCAUGAAGCCCCCCUCAAGAUGAGAUUUCCCAACUUCGGUUAUAAGAUCCCUCAAAGAUGAUGAGGUUAAUAGGUUC